This 198-nucleotide ribosomal RNA is filed under the name uncultured bacterium. Its description in RNAcentral is "partial 16S ribosomal RNA". It matches the Rfam family "Bacterial small subunit ribosomal RNA", at positions 326 to 540 of the family's 1533-position model. The record is from RNAcentral.
ACGCUCGACACCUACGGGAAGCAGCAGUGGGGAAUAUUGCACAAUGGGGGAAACCCUGAUGCAGCGACGCCGCGUGAGCGAAGAAGUAUUUCGGUAUGUAAAGCUCUAUCAGCAGGGAAGAAACUGACGGUACCUGACUAAGAAGCACCGGCUAAAUACGUGCAGCAGCCGNGGUAAUCUGAGCGGGCUGGCGAAGGC